Molecule: long non-coding RNA, 875 nt
Organism: Calypte anna (Anna's hummingbird)
Lineage: Eukaryota; Metazoa; Chordata; Aves; Apodiformes; Trochilidae
Exons: 3
Source: RefSeq, a predicted model, not a curated record
CCCCAGAGUCUGCCCCUGGGGCUGGAGCGGGCGCUCGGAAGCGGGAGAGUGCCCAGCUGCAAGGCAGGGAGGCCAGGGAGGGUCGGUACCGAGUGCCCCGGGCUGGGGGAAUGUUGCAGACCUUUGGCCAGGCGGUGCUGGCUGGUUGUAUUGCCAGGGCUGGGUCUGACCGGCUCUGGCUGCCUGCCUGGCACAAUCCCUAAGGCACGGCUGGGAGAGAAUGGAUGGGUAACCUGGCUAGGUCCCUGCGAGGGGUGGGGAUGCUGGUUCAUUCUCGAAACCCUCCUCGAGUGCUGGGUGCGGGUGCCAUGAAGCAGGUUGAACCCUAAAGAUGUCUGACCCUGGUGAGAGCCUUUUCUCAGGGUAUACAAACACUGUGGUUAAAACGCGCUGAAGGUGGGCCAUCACCCAACAACUUGUGGGAUCCAGAGCAGGGGCAAAACCGUGCUAAACCAUGUGCCUUAGCACCACAUCUACAAGCCUUCUGCACACCUCAAAGGAUGGUGACUCAACCACCUCCCUGGGCAGACCAUUCCAAUGUGUGGUAACACUUCCAGUCAAGAAGUUUUUUCUAAUAGGUUAUUCAAAGCACACUGACAGCAGAACCCCCACCAGUCUCACCCUGAUGUCCUUCUGAGCAUGUAAACCCAGGGCAUUGUGGCCAUUCUCCAACAGAGAAAUGGUUUUUCAUCUGACAUGUUUUUCUUACAAGCAUCACAGUGACCUCCCCAGUCAGAAGAAGCAGAUCAGCCCCAACUUUUAAACAUGUGCUGAGCAUAAUAAUGUGCAUUUACUCUCCAAGGAAAUCCUGUGGUCUUGACCAGCAGCAGAAGGCUCUGUGAGGAUAAGCAGACUUAAUCAGCACUUGAAAUGGC